This 305-nucleotide ribosomal RNA is filed under the name uncultured bacterium. RNAcentral's name for it is "bacterial SSU rRNA". It matches the Rfam family "Bacterial small subunit ribosomal RNA", at positions 338 to 640 of the family's 1533-position model. The record is from RNAcentral.
CCUACGGGACGCAGCAGUGAGGAAUAUUGGUCAAUGGGCUUACGCCUGAACCAGCCAAGUCGCGUGAGGGAAGACUGCCCUAUGGGUUGUAAACCUCUUUUGUCAGGGAGCAAUUGGCGCUACGUGUAGCGUUAUCGAGAGUACCUGAAGAAAAAGCAUCGGCUAACUCCGUGCCAGCAGCCGCGGUAAUACGGAGGAUGCGAGCGUUAUCCGGAUUUAUUGGGUUUAAAGGGUGCGCAGGCGGGAGAUCAAGUCAGCGGUAAAAUGUCGGGGCUCAACCCCGGCCGGCCGUUGAAACUGGUUUU